RNAcentral lists this long non-coding RNA (287 nucleotides) under Prunus dulcis (almond). Its description in RNAcentral is "sRNA ncRNA". Lineage: Eukaryota; Viridiplantae; Streptophyta; Magnoliopsida; Rosales; Rosaceae. The record is from RNAcentral.
AUGCAGAGACUCGGGGCCCAUGUUAACAUAUCUGGAUUUGACUCUCCUGAAGUACGUUACACGCAAAUUAAUUUCUUUCCAUGUAGGAUGAAAAAAAAAAUUUCGAACAUUCCAAAUAUUCAGAUUCUAUACAUAUCUGGCUUAUGUGUAGUUUUGAAUAUUCAGAUUCUAUGUAAUAAAAAAGAAUGCACAGAUAGACGUCAACUAUCACCAAGAAGAAGGUCAGGUUCAAACAACUGGUGCUUUGUUGUGAAGAUCCUUUAAUUAUUCUUUGCAAAAAUCCAUAA